ACAAGAGUGGCGUACAGGCACACGCACCUGAUUUAGAAUCAGGGUUUUUAGAGCUGGAGUCUCUUCUCUUGUAC
This 74-nucleotide transfer RNA is filed under the name Neptunitalea chrysea. Its description in RNAcentral is "tRNA-Leu". Lineage: Bacteria; Pseudomonadati; Bacteroidota; Flavobacteriia; Flavobacteriales; Flavobacteriaceae. The record is from RNAcentral.